This 253-nucleotide ribosomal RNA is filed under the name uncultured bacterium. RNAcentral describes it as "partial 16S ribosomal RNA". It matches the Rfam family "Bacterial small subunit ribosomal RNA", at positions 524 to 776 of the family's 1533-position model. The record is from RNAcentral.
UACAGAGGUCCCGCGCGUUAAUCGGAAUUACUGGGCGUAAAGCGCACGUAGGCGGCUUGGUAUGUCGGGUGUGAAAUCCCCGGGCUCAACCUGGGAAUGGCGGUGGAUACUGAGGAGCUAGAGUGCGGUAGAGGAGGGUGGAAUUCCCGGUGUAGCGGUGAAAUGCGUAGAGAUCGGGAGGAACAUCAGUGGCGAAGGCGGCCCUCUGGACCAGCACUGACGCUGAGGCACGAAAGCGUGGGGAGCAAACAGG